CAGUCGCCGCGGUAAUACGAGGGGUCAAGCGUUGUUCGGAAUUAUUGGGCGUAAAGGGUGCGUAGGCGGUUUGGCAAGUUUGGUGUGAAAUCUUCGGGCUCAACUCGAAGUCUGCAUCGAAAACUGCCGGGCUUGAGUAUGGGAGAGGUGAGUGGAAUUUCCGGUGUAGCGGUGAAAUGCGUAGAUAUCGGAAGGAACACCUGUGGCGAAAGCGGCUCACUGGACCAUAACUGACGCUGAUGCACGAAAGCUAGGGGAGCAAACAGGAUUAGAUACCCCUGUAGUCCCUGUCUCUUAUACA
RNAcentral lists this ribosomal RNA (301 nucleotides) under uncultured bacterium. RNAcentral describes it as "partial 16S ribosomal RNA". It matches the Rfam family "Bacterial small subunit ribosomal RNA", at positions 509 to 808 of the family's 1533-position model. The record is from RNAcentral.